AUUAUUAAGUUCCCUCUGUAUGCAGAAUAUUGUGCAACAUGGUUAUGGGUACUACAGUGGAUGUGAGUGUGUAGACCUUGUACAAUAGAGCUUAUAGGCUAAUGAGAAGACAGGAAGAAACAACAGGAACACAUAUAGCUGGAAUGCAGAUGGGAUCUGUGCUACUUACGCUAGCCAUGGGAUGAUUAGAACAAGAUAAGAGACAUGAGGAAGACUUCUUCAAGGAGGUGCUCAAGCCAUGUUUUGGAAAAGAGAACUCAAGGUCUGGCAGGGAGAAAGGAGCAAGACUGCCUGGCAGCUCUUUAGAAAGUUGUGUGACGUAUGAACCAGUUCUUCCCUAUAUGAGAGUGUACCGUACAUCGCAGGCUGUCCAGCAUCGACCCCACUGAUGGAUGCUAGUAGUCCUCCCCGCCAGCACUCAACAUUGUGACAGUCAAAAACAUCCUCUCUACAUUUUCAAUGCCCCUGUUGGGGUAGCAGGACUCCCACUGAGAGACCCCAGUAGAGAUGGUCCCCAAGCAUGCUAACCAUGAAGCAGUGAUAUCGCACAGCACCUGCUUCCAGCAGCCCGGAGCCAAGGGGCAAAAUGGAAAGAGUCAGCAUUUCUCUUUUAGGUUCUCUGCCUCUCUAGUGUGUAAGCUUUUAACCCCCACUACGCGUCUUCGUUCCAUUCUCCUCCAGUACCCAUUUUAGUGAGCUUCUGUUGUUUCUGCCCCAGGAUAUCUCUAACAAAGAACCAAGAUAUUUAUCAGGAGAACUUCUCCCACUCUCCUCUCAGUCCUUGGGGAUCUGAUGAAAUGACACUUCUUGGACUGUGGGGUGGAGCAUGUGAGUCACACCUGGGCCAAUCAUUUUAUCCUAUUUCGUGACCACAUGACCAAUUCAGGGAUGGGAACAUGACCCAGGUGGAACCUAUGAGAGGCAGUGAGAUCUUUCCAGGUACUUCCAGGAAAGAGGGUCUCACUUUUCCCUCUAUAAUGUACACCAGAGAAGGUGUGUGGCUGAAGCUGCUACCAUCCUCUUGUGGCUACAGGAAGCUGGGAUUAAUUGUAACAACGCAAUUGGCAGAUCUGAAAGCUGAGAACAAAAAAGCAAAAAACCUGUGUUCUAAUAACACUAUAUAUGAGCCCUAAAUCCAGCUAUGCCUGGAGCCAGUCUUACUGUGGAAUUUUUAACCUAAGCUGGUUGAUAAAUUAUCUUUUCAUUUAAGACAAAGUCAUGGCAGAUUUUUUGCCACUUGUGAGAAGAAGACAGAUACACCCAAGAAGCUCCUGUUCUUUCUCAUUAACCCAUAUUAAAACCCACUUUCGGGAAAGGAUUCUCCAUUCUAAAUUAUUAAUAACUGAUAAUGCUUCAAAGUCAAAGUAUGACUCCUUCAAGAAAGUUUUCAGCUUUCAGGAUUUGUUCAGCAAAUACUGAGCCCCUUCUGAUGCAAAUAGACAUGGCAGUGUAUGCUAGGAGGAGAGUGUAGCCAAGUUUUCCCAUCAAACUCGGUAUUUCAGUGCCUAAUUUUGGCCAUUCAGAUAAGUUUCAACUUCUAGUAAUGGCCAAGUAAAUUAUAUCUAACUAAACCUUCUGCCAAAGACAGUGGUAAAUUCUGGACCCAAAACACAAUGAUAACAACAAAACCUGUUUGAAGGUUCUUGAAACUGGCCAACAUGGUUUGGUUCUGCAGACAAAAACUGAAGACAUGACCCUUGAAAAAAGGAAAUCACAUAUGGUGAGAUACACAUUUAUCAGGUUUUCCUUCAGCAGCGCUAUCCAUUUCCUGCAGUGGACGGAGGUAGAGCUCAGCAGAAAGUGGCUGUUCUACUGAGUUAAAAAGUUAGAGGUUAGAAUUUGGGGCUUCCACAGUAGCAGGAGAUUGGGAAGGAGGGAAUCUCGCAAAGGAGGGAGUCUCAGAUGGGGAGCUCCCAAAUCUGUGUACAAACUUCUCUGAUUCCUAAACUGUGCAUCUGGGUGAGGUUCAAGGAGCUGAGGGAAAAAUAACAGCUGGAAGGCUAAAAAGGUGUUGUCUUGUGUUGAGCAGAUGGUGCUUAGGGUUUAGUUCUCACCAAGUUAGAGGACUCUGGAGAACACCUAAAGCUUUCUACUGAGACUACAGAAGGAGUAAUGACUACUCCCCAGGACUAAAGCCUAUGUCCUAGGAAUAAAGGCAAAACCAAGAUAGGCCCACCCUGACAAAGCCUAAAACCAACUCUUCAUAGCCGCAUUAUGCAAUAUAGUAACUUCUAGGCACACAUGGCAUUUCAAAUUUAAUUAAAACUAAGUAAAAUUUAACAUGUAGUUCCUCAGACACACUAGCCACAUUUCAAAUGUUCACAGACACAUGUAGUUAAUGGCUAUGAUACUGGACUGCACAGACUACAGAAUAUUUCUAUCAUCAUGGAAGUUCUAUUGAAUGGCAUUGCUCUAUAGGAUCAAGACUAUGCUAGUAAUUUAACUGCUUGAUAGAACAAAUGUCAAAUUUCUUCUAAGGAAGAUAGUAGACUCCAAAGUCUUUUUAAUAUCAUCCAAAAUGCUCAGCAUACAAUUUUUAAAAAUUACUAAUUGUGCAAAGAAUCAGGAAAAUGUAACCUACAGUGAAGAGAAACAACAGGUGAUAAACAUAGACUCACAAGUGACCCAGAUGUUAGAAUUACAAAAGACUUAAUAACUAUAAUAAGUUAAAGAGUCUAUAGGAAAAUAUAUCUGUAGUAGCUGAAGAGAUGGAAAAUUUUAAGAGAGCUAUGGAAACUUUAAAAAAGAACCGAAUGGAAAUCCUGAAACUGAAAGAUACAAUAUCUGACAUUGAAAAUGCAUUAGUUUGGAAUUAACAGCAUAAUGAACACAACAUAAAAAAUCAGUGAGGCU
Molecule: long non-coding RNA, 2853 nt
Organism: Homo sapiens (human)
Lineage: Eukaryota; Metazoa; Chordata; Mammalia; Primates; Hominidae
Product: long intergenic non-protein coding RNA 2532
Source: Ensembl